CAGAAACUCUGAAGUUCUCUUCUUCUUUUCAGAUAUUGGAAUAUUCUUCAUGUAAUGCAGUAUCACUUCUGUAUGAAGCCACGUGUAACUUGUCCCCCUCCUUUCCAUCAUGAGAACUACUGAAGAUGUAAACCAAAUCCAGGGAAACCAGUGACAUUUGUGAAUAGUAGACGGGAUAAAAGGAGCUGGACACACUCUUUCUUCAACAUCUGCCAUGAUAUGAUUUCACAAGCAAGAAAUGUGCCAAGGCUUCUACCCAAGAAUAUAACGUACAUGGACACGUCAUGGGGGCUCCCCUGCCCUCAAGCUCCCAUGGGGGUUCAGCCAAUGAAGACAAGAAGAAAGAGAGAUUGAGGUCAUCCAGUGAUACUGAUGAAAUAUUCCACCGGAGGGAGAAUCAUGAAAUAUUCCACCGGAGGGAGAAUCAAAUCCCUGUCUAGCCUCCUUGCCCGCAGGAAGUUGACAGAAGAGGGAUUGACCUGAAGGAUCAAGGGGUAUGCAGUCCAAGUGGGAAUGUAACAUGCAUGAGGUGGAGGGACUGAACCUCAAUCAGAUGGAGUGAAUGCUUCAGGUCACACAGCGAAAGAGUCCUGGAUGAAAACCCAGUGCUACCAGAAGGCAGUCUCUUCUCUCCACCACACUGUACCUCCCACAGCCCUCUUUUAGAGCAAGGCCAUUUCAGGGAAGCCUUGCCAUACCCGAUCUCCACAGGCAGCUCUCACCAACUGUGCUUCAAGUGCAUGGUCAUUCCAGAGCCUGGACGGAACGGGCACUCCUGGUGCUAUGGCCUCACUGCCUACAAAGCUAAGUGCACAGGUAGGGGGACAGGGUGCUUCCUUUGCUCCUGUGGUGAUCUGGAGACACAGAUCAACCCAGUGUGAAUGGAACCAGGCAGAGCUGCCCACCAAAAUAAAAGUGUGGCCAAAACCCAGCCCUGCUUGUGGGUGAACAAAAAACAUGCCCUCCAGCCACAACUGCAUUCACAGAGCUUCCGGGGAUGGCUCUUACCUGGGGCUGCUCCGUAUGGAAACAUAAUCCAUAGCUUGGCUCCCACAAAUAUGCUUAUCCCACGUGCUACAUAUGGAAGGAGAAAUCAGCUUGUAUUUCAUUAAACAGUUUGGCUCAGGUCUUGUGAGCAAAUAUUAGAAUCUGCACUUGGUACAGAGUCGUAAAUGCAUUGUUAGCAAAUCAGAUGGCCGAUAAAAAAUACAUAAAUCAAUCAAGCAUUCCUACUGCUAAAUGUUUACAAAUAAGCAAAACAACGAUCCCCUUGUUAAAAGUCUCUUCUGCUCUAUGAUUUAUUAAAGUUCUGAAUUCCAUGUUGGGGGCCCAGGGAGUUGAAGGGUGUGGAAGUGGGCUGGCCGGUCUAAGCCGUCCGUGAUCCAUUCCAGGGCAUUUGCCAGGGCACAGCUGGGCUUCCCCCACCCAGGGACAGUGAGAG
RNAcentral lists this long non-coding RNA (1441 nucleotides) under Homo sapiens (human). RNAcentral's name for it is "HSALNT0223294". The record is from RNAcentral. Lineage: Eukaryota; Metazoa; Chordata; Mammalia; Primates; Hominidae.